AUUGAACGCUGGCGGUAGGCUUAACACAUGCAAGUCGUGCGAGAAAGUAUCUUCGGAUAUGAGUAGAGCGGCGGACGGGUGAGUAACGCGUAGGAAUCUACCUAGUAGAAGGGGAUAGCCCGGGGAAACUCGGAUUAAUACCGUAUACCUCCUUCGGGAGAAAGAAGGCCUCUCUUUGAAGCUUUCGCUACUAGAUGAGCCUGCGUAAGAUUAGCUUGUUGGUGAGGUAAAGGCUCACCAAGGCUACGAUCUUUAGCUGGUCUGAGAGGACGAUCAGCCACAUUGGGACUGAGACACGGCCCAGACUCCUACGGGAGGCAGCAGUGGGGAAUAUUGGACAAUGGGCGCAAGCCUGAUCCAGCCAUACCGCGUGUGUGAAGAAGGCCUUCGGGUUGUAAAGCACUUUAAGCAGGGAGAAAAAGUUAUAGGUUAAUACCCUAUGACCCUGAUGUUACCUGCAGAAUAAGCACCGGCUAAUUCCGUGCCAGCAGCCGCGGUAAUACGGAAGGUGCAAGCGUUAAUCGGAAUUACUGGGCGUAAAGCGCGCGUAGGUGGUUUGUUAAGUUGGAUGUGAAAGCCCUGGGCUCAACCUAGGAACUGCAUCCAAAACUAACUCACUAGAGUACGAUAGAGGGAGGUAGAAUUCAUAGUGUAGCGGUGGAAUGCGUAGAUAUUAUGAAGAAUACCAGUGGCGAAGGCGGCCUCCUGGAUCUGUACUGACACUGAGGUGCGAAAGCGUGGGUAGCGAACAGGAUUAGAUACCCUGGUAGUCCACGCCGUAAA
Molecule: ribosomal RNA, 783 nt
Filed under: uncultured Gammaproteobacteria bacterium
Lineage: Bacteria; Pseudomonadati; Pseudomonadota; Gammaproteobacteria
Description: bacterial SSU rRNA
Rfam family: Bacterial small subunit ribosomal RNA
Source: RNAcentral